RNAcentral lists this long non-coding RNA (227 nucleotides) under Aquilegia coerulea. RNAcentral's name for it is "long non-coding RNA (ACOE_LNC000433)". The record is from RNAcentral. Lineage: Eukaryota; Viridiplantae; Streptophyta; Magnoliopsida; Ranunculales; Ranunculaceae.
GAAGUACCAAUCCUUCCUGUAGCAGCUGCUGCGGCACCACUUACAGUGCCUCUUCCAACCACUAUUCCAAUUCCUUAUUCUACUAAUAGCAGAUAAAGUAACAGGUGGACCAGAUGCACAUACGCUUUGGUGAUUGAUAUCAUUUAGACCAGAAUUAGGUGUCCAACUGCUGACUUUGAUGGCAAACCCAAUCCAUUGCUACUGGUACAAACACAACCAUCAAUAAA